RNAcentral lists this ribosomal RNA (252 nucleotides) under uncultured prokaryote. RNAcentral describes it as "partial 16S ribosomal RNA". It matches the Rfam family "Bacterial small subunit ribosomal RNA", at positions 526 to 777 of the family's 1533-position model. The record is from RNAcentral.
CAGAGGGUGCGAGCGUUGUCCGGAAUCACUGGGCGUAAAGGGCGCGUAGGUGGCCCGACAAGUCUGUGGUGAAAGCUCGACGCUCAACGUCGAGUCGGCCAUAGAUACUGUUGGGCUGGAGCACUGUAGAGGCUCAUGGAAUUCCGGGUGUAGCGGUGGAAUGCGUAGAGAUCCGGAAGAACACCAGUGGCGAAGGCGGCUCACUGGACUGGUACUGACGCUGAGGCGCGAAAGCGUGGGGAGCAAACGGGA